Molecule: small nuclear RNA, 107 nt
Organism: Peromyscus eremicus (cactus mouse)
Lineage: Eukaryota; Metazoa; Chordata; Mammalia; Rodentia; Cricetidae
Source: RefSeq, a predicted model, not a curated record
GUGCUCACUUCAGCAGCACAUGUACUAAAAUUAGAACAAUACAGAGAAGAUUCACAUGGCCCCUGCGCAAGGAUGACAUGCAAAUUCAUAAAGCCUUCCAUAUUUUU